CGGAGGAAAAGAAACCAACAGGGAUUGCCUUAGUAACGGCGAGUGAAGUGGCAAAAGCUCGAAUUUGAAAUCUGCCGCCCGGCCGAGUUGUAAUUUGCAGAGGAAUCCUUUGGGUAAAAUUCGCUCCAAGUCCCCUGGAACGGGGUGCCAUAGAGGGUGAGAGCCCCGUUUGGAGAUGUUUGUUUAGCCCUGCAUGAAGAUCCUUUCAACGAGUCGAGUAGUUUUGGGAAUGCCUGCUCUAAAUGGGAGGUAAAUUUCCUUUCUAAAGCUUAAUAUUAGCCAGAGACCGAUAGCGCACAAGUAGAGUGAUCGAAAGAUGAAAAGCACUUUUGAAAAGAGAGUUAAAAGCACGUGAAAUUGUUGAAAGGGAAGUACUUGUAACCAGACAUGCACUAUGUGGAUUUGCUACUGUUACCAGUGGUGUACUCUGCGUAGAGUUGGCUAGCAUGAGUUUUUCCAGGGGGAUAAAAGCAGUGGGAAUGUAACUCGUUGAGUAUUAUAGACUAUUGCAAAAUACCCCUAGGAAAACUGAGGAAAGCGUUUUGCAAGGAUGUUGGCGUAAUGGUUUCUAG
This 572-nucleotide ribosomal RNA is filed under the name Phyllachora sp. RNAcentral's name for it is "eukaryotic LSU rRNA". It matches the Rfam family "Eukaryotic large subunit ribosomal RNA", at positions 51 to 644 of the family's 3401-position model. Lineage: Eukaryota; Fungi; Ascomycota; Sordariomycetes; Phyllachorales; Phyllachoraceae. The record is from RNAcentral.